AUUUAACUGAAUGAAAGACAAUGCACAAUUUAAUAGUGUCACAGUCAUUUGUGGUACUUAUAAAAAUAAUGUGUGAUCUCUUCUCCCCUUUCUUCUACAUCUAAAAAUUAGCAGCACUUUGAUAAUAGUCUUCUAAUUAGUAUAUACCUCUGGGGAACUUCUAGAUAAAAGACUUAGUUUUCUCUCCUGAAUGUGCAUGUGGAGACUAAAUGCACUUCAUGUGACUGAGGAACUCUUUGUUUCAUAAAGAUUAAGAUAAGUACGCACAAGAAAAAACAUUUAGGCAACCAGAACCUUCUGAAGAUCUCUCUCUAGAUACAGAUAGAUAGGGAUAUAGAUGUUCCAGUAGAACUUUUAGUGUUAACAAAAUGACAGCUUUUCCUCUGGGAGUUAGCUUAGGUCCAAAGCAGCUUCUCUUCAAAGUUAUAUCAUAUCUAGUAUCAGAGGUCUCCCAGUUUCUUGGGAGGGCCUUUUUGCCUUUUUAUCUUAUAAAACUUGAAUUCAUGACUGAAUCCUUUCAAGCAUACUACUGAUUUUUUGACAGGUUCCCAUCUAGUAUCAGUUUAUACUUUAUAACCUGUCAUAAGUCCCACCUGGCCUUACAUCCCACUUGGUUUUAUGGCCUGUUUAUAACAUGCUCUGACCUGUGAUAAUCACCCCCUUACCAUUUCAUGGCAUCAGGGUUGCGCAGAACUGCACUAGAAUCAUCUGAUAUCAUUUAGGAAUUUUGUCGGUAUUGUUACUUCAUCACAUGGAAUUUAGCUAUUCACUUUUGUGACCAUGGUUGUCAAGAAUUCCAAAACUGUUUCUCUCAGGAUAAUAUGAGAAAGAAGAAGGAAGUUAGGGAAACAGGUAUACCCGCUCUUUGUGACACAUGGUGGAAGCAUAUGAAAAGAUUCAUUGAUAGCAAUUUCAAAGCAGGUGAUACAGAAACUCAUAUUGUUUUUCCAUCAAGAAAUAUGCUGGAACCGGCAGAGCUUGGUAUACUAUGAAAAGCAUCCUGGAAGAGAGAAACCCACCACUGUGGUCUUCUACAUAUAUAGAAAAAAGGAAGCAGGAACAUCUAGUAAAUUCAUGACUGAAUCCUUUCGAACAUACUGAUGGAAGCAUCCUGACAGAGAAAAUGAGCUUUUAAAAAAGGGUCAAAUCUGGUUAGCUCAGUCAGUAGUAUCUGUUUUUCUGUCGAUUUAUCUCAGAUCUGCAGAGCCAACUUCUUGUUCACCUGUUGAAAGGGAAAAGGGGAUGAAUGUCUAAGGCCACCCACGUUUGUGUCCUUGCAUGUGUGCAUCUUCCAAAUUCUCCAUAAUCCUCAUGUAUCAUUUUCUUAAUAAGAAAAUAUAAUGAUUUUUGUUUUUAAAAGGCACAUUAAAUCUUGUAUAAUACUUUUUGUUCUUCGGAUCCUUUUCACAAAUGCAUCAUCUCAUUUUAUCCUUAGAACAACCUUUUAAAAGUAGCCUUAAACAAGUCUUAUCCUGAUUCAUAGAUGAGUAAAGUAAAAGAAUUAAAGUGGCUCGAAGUCAGUCAGUUCUUCAGAGUCAGCCCUGGAAGCUGAACCUAAGCCUACUAAAUUAAAAUCGUAUGUGUAUGUGUAUGUGUGUCCUACAUUUUCCUUGGAAAUCUUCGUUCUGAUUAUGAGAAUUACUAGUAUUCUGUUUUCCUUUAGAUUUUGUAGAUGAGGAGAUAUGAAGUUUAAGGUGUGUGUGUCUGUGUGUGUGUGUAACUAUACCACAAUUCCUUAUAUUUACAUUUGAUUCUGGCAAAAAGUCAGAGAAAGAAAACUCCUUAACAUUAGAAUAUUGAGUCUAUAGAGUCUAAAGUCACCCAUUUGAGUAUGGAAGAAAAACAAGAAUCAUACUGACUGCUUCCGAGGGGACCCGGGAAUCAAAUGGUCAAUGGAGUGUAGCUGUCAUCAAGACCAGUUUAACUUCUCUUUUUAUUUUAUUGUCACAUUUACAGAUUUAGAGUGUUCAGAGCCAUGAGUAAACACAUUAUGCAACAGUAAGUAAUUAAGUGCAUAGUGACUAUAGUAGCAUUUUAUGUUAACUGCAUCCUUAAAAUAAAUGUUACCAUAUCCCAGCUUUUCUUGGGAAUAAUUUCAGUGAUUUCAAUUAGCUUUUUUCAGUAAUUUCUCACGAUACACCUCAAAUGGUGGAAUGGAAAAAACAGAGCAAGAACCAGUGGACAUCAGCUUGACUACACCCCUGAGCUUUCUGGUUGUAAGAAGAGGGAGAGCCAGUACUUUACCCCUGUCAUUUCUAUGAUGUGGGGUCUUUAAAAUGAUCAAAUGAGACAACAUUGGUGAAUAUGCUAAUCCAAAAGGAUGAACCAUUUCCUUUACAAGGAAAAUUAAAAUACAGAUUGGAAACAAAAGGAUCUAUGAGAAAAAAAGUCAUUAAAAUUAAAAGCGAGUUUAGUAAGGAUUUAAAGAAAUUUAAUGAUGUAAUAUAAAAACUAAAUUAAAGCAUCUAAAAGUAAACAAGAUUUGAAAAGACCCUUAACUCGGUUAUUGGGAGUGUAAAAUUACAUCCAAGCAAAAAUGCUAAGAGCAAAGUUAAUUGAAAAGGGGGAAGGUGCUUAAACAGAAAAAGCUAGACACCAGUGAUAAAACAUAUCCAAACAACAGCAAAAAUAAGCAUUUCAGAAGGAAAGUCUAUACCAAAAAACAUUAUAGUUAAAGUACAAAGGCAAUUGUUUUUGUUCUUUCAUUUAUCUAACAAUACUGACUAAAAGUAGUUGUGACAAGAGUGAGUGAAAGCUAUCUGCUUGCUCUCAUGGAAUUUACUUUAUAAGAGAUAGGAAACAGAUAUUAAACUAAUAAUAAGACAUAUGCAUAGCUAAACACAUGUACAUAAAAUAUAUGCAUCUGGCACUGCUUUUGUGCCACUUCAAACACCCCCAUGUUCCCUCUUAGUGACCAACUGGGAGAAGAUUGGUACCAGUUGCUCUUAGGUGCAUACCCGCAGCACAUCGCACUUGCACAUGCACAAGCCCAGUGCAGGGCA
This 3002-nucleotide long non-coding RNA is filed under the name Canis lupus familiaris (dog). Its description in RNAcentral is "lncRNA (ENSCAFG00000059431.1)". Lineage: Eukaryota; Metazoa; Chordata; Mammalia; Carnivora; Canidae. The record is from RNAcentral.